This 305-nucleotide unclassified non-coding RNA is filed under the name Zea mays. Its description in RNAcentral is "misc RNA Zm00001eb409010". The record is from RNAcentral. Lineage: Eukaryota; Viridiplantae; Streptophyta; Magnoliopsida; Poales; Poaceae.
CUGGCAUUCCUCAACAUGCUUGGAGUAGAUCUACAGCUGAACAGUUGCUCAGGGACUCAUGUUGGGUUGAAGCAUUACAUUCAGAAGCUUUGGAAAUGAGGGAUUUUUCAGUCUUGAUGGUGAAAGCUUGGUGUUUUGAUCCUGAAAAGCUGGUCAGGAAAAUGGAUUUACACAUCUUGGAGGCUGGGAUAGAUGAUCAGGAAAAGAGAUUCUUAACCUAUAAGAUUUCCAUUGAUAUCCUUCCACCGAAGACCCUGCAGAUGGCAUCGGCGACCCCACCACCUCCUCCUCCACCUCCAUCGGGA